GAAAUGUGAUAAGUAAUGUGAAUUGCAGAAUUCCGUGAAUCAUCGAAUCUUUGAACGCACAUUGCGCCCUCUGGUAUUCCGGGGGGCAUGCCUGUCCGAGCGUCAUUGCGAACCCCUCAAGCACGGCUUGUGUGAUGGGCCCUCCCGCGUCUUGGUCGUCAAGACGGGCCCGAAAUGCAGUGGCGGCUUCGCGGUUAUCCGAUCAGCCAGAGCGUAUGGGGACUUUCUCUCUGUCACACGCCCGCGGCGCGGACCGACGCCUGUCGACCUUCAUUCAUCGUUUUCUCGGUUGACCUCGGAUCAGGUAGGGAUACCCGCUGAACUUAAGC
Molecule: unclassified non-coding RNA, 329 nt
Filed under: plant metagenome
Description: partial contains 5.8S ribosomal RNA, internal transcribed spacer 2, and large subunit ribosomal RNA
Rfam family: 5.8S ribosomal RNA (bases 1-105)
Source: RNAcentral